AUAUUUACCUGGCAGGGGAGAUACCAUGAUCAAGAAGGUGGUUCACCCAGGGUGAGGCUCAGCCAUUGCACAUAGGUUGAGCUGACCUCUGUGAAUUCCCCAAAUGUGGGAAUUUUUACUGCAUAGUUUGUGGUAGUGGGGGGCUGCGUUCGCACUCUCCCCUG
Non-coding RNA from Doryrhamphus excisus (bluestripe pipefish), 164 nucleotides. The record is from RefSeq and is a predicted model, not a curated record. NCBI's taxonomy places the organism in Eukaryota, Metazoa, Chordata, Actinopteri, Syngnathiformes, Syngnathidae.